Myotis davidii is the source of this 843-nucleotide long non-coding RNA. RefSeq lists it as uncharacterized. The record is from RefSeq and is a predicted model, not a curated record. NCBI's taxonomy places the organism in Eukaryota, Metazoa, Chordata, Mammalia, Chiroptera, Vespertilionidae. The transcript is spliced from 3 exons.
GACUGAUGAGUGGGAUUCCUCCAGCACUCACUCCAUUCCGGGGGCGGAUGCUGCGCACAUUCGUGGCUAAAACGAGAAAUAGCCGCGCAGAUCCAGGCCCAGGAAAGCAGCAAAACCAGACAAGCAACACCACUGUUGACCUCAGGACCAACCGCAUUAGAUAAUGACCCACUGGAGCCUGAUAGGUCCCCGAAGGAGGAAUGCAGGAAGCCAGAAUGCUAGACGCAAGUACAGAGGUUGCUGAACCCAGGUCCAGUAUGACCCCACUCGUCUAGUUCCUGCCACCCAUGACAGAUUAAUGUUCCUCCCUCUCUCUCUCUGUCUAAAAUAAAGUAAUAAAAUAGAUUGUUGGUGCUAAAUGCUAAAAGUAGCAAGUGAAACAUUAGAAAAAGAACAGGAUACUUAAACAGAUUCCAAGUAUGUCCCUCAGAUAUUUGUUGUAGUUUUAAUGUGGCCACAGAAUCUUCGAUACACCUUCCUCCAGGAGGUGAAGCUUGACUCCUUCCACCCCUUGAGUGUGUGGGCUGGAUUUAGUGACUGGCUUCUCAACAACGAUAUGUGGAAAAGGAAAAUAGUAAUUUUUACAGGAGAGAAAUGCAGACACCACCUUAACCAAGUGGUCGAGGUUAACACCAUCAGUAAUAAGUAAUAAGUCCUUUUGAUAUCAUUUACCCCCUCAUAUGAUGCAAAGUCACUUCAUCUCUGUGGAAUUUCCCCCCUUAAAUCAUUCCCCCAGUCUAAUCAAAAGAAAACAUCUCCCAAAUCCAAAUGGAGAGAUAUUCCAGAAAGUACUUGAGCCGUGUGGACCAAAAAGGGGCCACAUAGCCCAGCCUGUGUUGCUCA